AGUCACCAUCAUCUGUUUGAAUAAUACUAUCAGUCACCACCAUCUGUAUGAAUGACAGCAUCUUCAUCAUAGCCCCAGAAUUAUGCAGAAUAGUCUAGUAUAUUGUAAUAAAAUAACCAAUACUAGAAAACCACUAUAUUGGCUUUAUUCAACAAGAUUAAGCUACAGCCAACAAUGAACAAAUAUAAGUACAUCUCUAGUUGUUGAAAUACUAUAGACACACACACUGAACAUGACCUUCUGGCACACUGGACUCAUGCAGAAAAUUAAUAAUAAAUAUACACUACAUAUAUGUUGUCACAUCAAACCUGGUAUGUAUUGUCACAUUAGAAAUAGUAUGUAUAUAUGGCCUCCUUUAGUGGCGAAGCGACUAUGGAUCAUCUCAUAGAAAUGAGAUGAAUGCCUGGGCAUUAGUUAUGGUUGGAACGAUGUCGCCCACACAUCAGUUCCCCCCACUCCACGCAGCUGAUGUAUCCAAAGGAACGGCAGUGCCGAUACAGUUUGGGGUCAGUGGCCUUACAGGUUCUGCCAGAGUGUAGCACUGGGUGCUGCAAACUGCCUUAAGGUUGCCAGCUCCUGAUUUUUCCUCAGGGUUGACUCCCAAAGCCUUUCCCAUGAUUGGGUAUAGCUGCAUAGCAACAGAGGUUUGAAUUCAGAGUUUUCCUUCUCCUAGGUGGGUAGCCAGCCAUGGCUAAUGAGCCCCUCCUGCUCGAAGCUUACUGGUUAUGGCGCCAGUUACUCACCUUUGCCCCUUCUCCUGUUAGUGAGAACAGUUCCGCCAGACUCAAUAUCUGAGCCACACAUGAAGGCCAGGAGUUUGACUGUUUGUCAGAGGCACAUAAACAUUGCCACAGGUAACUCUAAUGUAGUUGACUUUAUUUUGUUGGUCUUUGCAUUGCCAGCUCUUUAUUUUCGAGGAUUCAUUAUAGUUGGAAAAGUUUUUAAAAUUGCAAGAAUUCUCACUAUGAUUUGAGUCUCCCUGCCAUUAGCUAUGGAUGAUGUUUGAUUAUGACUGCUAGAUAUUUAUUAUUGUUGUGGUACAACAGAUUAUUGAUUGUUGCAUUUUCUCCAUUAUGUUGCCAUCUAUUUACUAAGUUGUAUGUUUUUCAGAAAAGUGAAGACUGUGUGUGGAAGUUUGCCAGAGCCAAGCUUUGGAUUUCUUUCAUAGAGCCUGGGACAACACUCUCAAUACCUUUUGAUAUCAUUCCAACACCUAUAGCUGUGGUGAGACUAUUUCAAGGUCUCAGGACUGUAUUUCUUAUCAAUCGGUAAUCAUGCAUCACAUGCCCUCAGAUAUGUACAAAAAAUGAAGUUUGAGAAGAAAGAGAAAGGAUCAAGAUGAUUUACAAGACACUAAAGAAGUUAUCUAUCAACUAUACUCAAUGUAUGGACGACUUGCAGCCAGACUAGAAUUAUAGAGAAAGAUGUUUUUCUGCUGGCUAAACAUGUAUGGAUAAUGAUGCAGAGAAUUUCCUGGUGAUCAAGAAUUAGGAGCUGCACACAGUUUAAUGAAACCAUAUUUUAGGAACAGAUAGAAAACAAAGAACUACAGCAAAGAUGGCCUGUUCUUAUUCUUC
This is a long non-coding RNA of Biomphalaria glabrata, 1577 nucleotides long. RefSeq lists it as uncharacterized. The transcript is spliced from 4 exons. Lineage: Eukaryota; Metazoa; Mollusca; Gastropoda; Planorbidae. The record is from RefSeq and is a predicted model, not a curated record.